AGUGAACGCUGGCGGUAGGCCUAACACAUACAAGUCGAACGGCAGCACAGUAAGAGCUUGCUCUUACGGGUGGCGAGUGGCGGACGGGUGAGGAAUACAUCGGAAUCUACUUUUUCGUGGGGGAUAACGUAGGGAAACUUACGCUAAUACCGCAUACGACCUACGGGUGAGAGCAGGGGAUCUUCGGACCUUGCGCGAUUGAAUGAGCCGAUGUCGGAUUAGCUAGUUGGCGGGGUAAAGGCCCACCAAGGCGACGAUCCGUAGCUGGUCUGAGAGGAUGAUCAGCCACACUGGAACUGAGACACGGUCCAGACUCCUACGGGAGGCAGCAGUGGGGAAUAUUGGACAAUGGGCGCAAGCCUGAUCCAGCCAUACCGCGUGGGUGAAGAAGGCCUUCGGGUUGUAAAGCCCUUUUGUUGGGAAAGAAAAGCAGCAGGUUAAUACCCCGCUGUUCUGACGGUACCCAAAGAAUAAGCACCGGCUAACUUCGUG
RNAcentral lists this ribosomal RNA (492 nucleotides) under uncultured bacterium. Its description in RNAcentral is "partial 16S ribosomal RNA". It matches the Rfam family "Bacterial small subunit ribosomal RNA", at positions 29 to 507 of the family's 1533-position model. The record is from RNAcentral.